GUGCUUGCUUCAGCAGUACUUAUACUAAAACUGGAACAAUACAGAGAAGAUUAGCAUGGCCCCUGAGCAAGGAUUACAUGCAAAUUCAUGAAGUGUUCCAUAUUAAA
RNAcentral lists this small nuclear RNA (107 nucleotides) under Myotis davidii. Lineage: Eukaryota; Metazoa; Chordata; Mammalia; Chiroptera; Vespertilionidae. The record is from RNAcentral.